UGGCUCUCGCAUCGAUGAAGAACGCAGCGAAAUGCGAUAAGUAAUGUGAAUUGCAGAAUUCAGUGAAUCAUCGAAUCUUUGAACGCACCUUGCGCUCCUUGGUAUUCCGAGGAGCAUGCCUGUUUGAGUGUCUUGAAGUCAUCAACCCCUCACGUUUCGUGCGGAGGGGGGUUGGAGCUGGGGGCUUGCGGCUGAGAGGCCGCUCCCCUCGAAUGCAUCGGUUGGGCCUGUGGGUCGGACCCUCGGUUGGGCGUUGUACCAUCCUCGCUCCUCGUUCCGAGAAGGUUUCCCCGCGAUCGUGCCCUCCCCCGACCUCCUCUGGAGCGGCGGUCAAAACAAAACACUUUGAAAUCUGACCUCAAAUCAGGCAGGACUACCCGCUGA
RNAcentral lists this unclassified non-coding RNA (384 nucleotides) under uncultured fungus. RNAcentral describes it as "partial contains 5.8S ribosomal RNA and internal transcribed spacer 2". The stretch from base 1 to 133 matches the Rfam family "5.8S ribosomal RNA", at positions 22 to 154 of the family's 154-position model. The record is from RNAcentral. Lineage: Eukaryota; Fungi.